Molecule: ribosomal RNA, 416 nt
Filed under: Paramoera sp. KT-2017
Lineage: Eukaryota; Metazoa; Arthropoda; Malacostraca; Amphipoda; Pontogeneiidae
Description: partial 16S ribosomal RNA
Source: RNAcentral
GUAGCGAAAUAAUUUGUUUUUUAAUUGGAAACGAGUAUGAAAGGUAAAAUAAAUAUUUUUAUGUUUUUUGAAAUAAAUUAAAUUUUAGUUUAAGUAAAAAUACUUAAAUAAAUAAAAGGGACGAUAAGACCCUAAAAGCUUUAUUUUUUGUUUAGAAUUAAAGUAAAGAUUAUAUGGUAAUAAAUUAUGAAAUUAAUUGGGGUAAUUAUUUUAAUUAAAUUAAAAUAAUAAAAGCUUAAUAAAAGUUUAUGUGGUCUUUUUUAUAAGAAUGAGUAGUGUUAGUUACUUUAGGGAUAACAGCGUAAUAUAUUCAGAAAGGUCUUAUUAAUGAAUGUGAUUGCGACCUCGAUGUUGAAUUAUAAUAUCUUUAUGGGGCAUAAUAUAUAAAAGAAAGUUUGUUCAACUUUUAAAAUUUU